This 253-nucleotide ribosomal RNA is filed under the name uncultured bacterium. RNAcentral's name for it is "partial 16S ribosomal RNA". It matches the Rfam family "Bacterial small subunit ribosomal RNA", at positions 524 to 776 of the family's 1533-position model. The record is from RNAcentral.
UACGUAUGGAGCAAGCGUUAUCCGGAUUUACUGGGUGUAAACGGUGCGUAGGCGGCACAGCAAGUCAGAUGUGAAAGACCGGAGCUCAACCCCGGGGCUGCAUUUGAAACUGCCGAGCUUGAGUCCCGGAGAGGCAGGCGGAAUUCCUAGUGUAGCGGUGAAAUGCGUAGAUAUUAGGAGGAACACCAGUGGCGAAGGCGGCCUGCUGGACCGGAACUGACGCUGAGGCACGAAAGCGUGGGGAGCAAACAGG